AACGAACGCUGGCGGUAUGCUUAACACAUGCAAGUCGAACGAACAAAAUUGGGGCUUGCUCCAAUUUUAGUGAGUGGCAAACGGGUGAGUAACACGUGGGAAUCUACCUAUCAGUACGGAAUAACAUUUGGAAACAGAUGCUAAUACCGUAUAUUCUCCAAGGAGGAAAGAUUUAUCGCUGAUAGAUGAGCCCGCGCAAGAUUAGGUAGUUGGUAGGGUAAUGGCCUACCAAGCCUACGCUCUUUAGCUGGUCUGAGAGGAUGAUCAGCCACCCUGGGACUGAGACACGGCCCAGACUCCGACGGGAGGCAGCAGUGGGGAAUAUUGGAAAAUGAGCGAAAGCCUGAUCCAGCAAUACCGCGUGAAGGAUGAAGGCCUUAGGAUUGUAAAGUUCUUUUAGUUGGAAAGAUAAUGACGGUACCAACAGAAAAAGCCCCGGCUAACUCCGUGCCAGCCGCCGCCGUAA
Molecule: ribosomal RNA, 466 nt
Filed under: uncultured bacterium
Lineage: Bacteria
Description: partial 16S ribosomal RNA
Rfam family: Bacterial small subunit ribosomal RNA
Source: RNAcentral